UACGGGGGGAGCUAGCGUUGUUCGGAAUUACUGGGCGUAAAGCGCGCGUAGGCGGCUUUGUAAGUUAGAGGUGAAAGCCCGGAGCUCAGCUCCGGAACUGCCUUUAAGACUGCAUCGCUUGAAUCCAGGAGAGGUGAGUGGAAUUCCGAGUGUAGAGGUGAAAUUCGUAGAUAUUCGGAAGAACACCAGUGGCGAAGGCGGCUCACUGGACUGGUAUUGACGCUGAGGUGCGAAAGCGUGGGGAGCAAACAGG
RNAcentral lists this ribosomal RNA (253 nucleotides) under uncultured bacterium. Its description in RNAcentral is "partial 16S ribosomal RNA". It matches the Rfam family "Bacterial small subunit ribosomal RNA", at positions 524 to 776 of the family's 1533-position model. The record is from RNAcentral.